GGUAACACCCUAAAAAUUUGUUCUUUUUAAAUUAGGUGAAAAAUUUAAUUGGGUAUGUUUGUGCUCAUGAAAAUAUAGGAAAAAUAAUAAUUUCAUUAAAUUAAAAUUCAUUAUAGGAUUUAGUAACAUGUAUGUGCACUCAUGCUGGAGCAUUUAUAUUUUUGUACUGUGUGACUUUGAGUAAAGAUCAAAAGUAUUUCAAAAGGAUUUUUAAUGAGUUUUCAAAUGGCUUUUGAAAUAAAAAGAAACAAAAGAAAACAAAAGAAAAGAGAAGAAAAAGGAAGAACAAAAACUCUCUCUCCAUUUGUUUUUGGCCCGAGAGGCCCAACCAAACUUUCUCUCCUCUCCCCCUGCCCAGACCUCGCGUUCGGCCCAAGCUGGCCAGCAACAGGCCCAACCACCACCCCCCUCGCCUCGGCCCAGUGCGCGGUCUAGGAAGUGCACGUCGGCUUUCCCCUCCCUUUCUCUCUCCGUUUGGCUGACGUCCGGACCCCACCUGUCAGCCCGUCUUCUUCAACCUCAAGUCGGAGCCGUGCAGGACUCCCGACCGGGAGCUAAACCCCGAUUCGUGCGGGAUUUUCUGCCAAAUUCGCCAAAGCCGAUCCCUUUUAAGCCCCGU
RNAcentral lists this long non-coding RNA (619 nucleotides) under Sorghum bicolor (sorghum). Its description in RNAcentral is "long non-coding RNA (SBIC_LNC014184)". The record is from RNAcentral. Lineage: Eukaryota; Viridiplantae; Streptophyta; Magnoliopsida; Poales; Poaceae.